RNAcentral lists this ribosomal RNA (583 nucleotides) under uncultured eukaryote. RNAcentral's name for it is "eukaryotic LSU rRNA". It matches the Rfam family "Eukaryotic large subunit ribosomal RNA", at positions 51 to 648 of the family's 3401-position model. The record is from RNAcentral.
CGGAGGAAAAGAAACUAACAAGGAUUCCCCUAGUAGCGGCGAGCGAAGCGGGAAGAGCUCAAAUUUAUAAUCUGGCACCUUCGGUGUCCGAGUUGUAAUCUCUAGAAGUGUUAUCCGCGUUGGACCGCACACAAGUCUGUUGGAAUACAGCGGCAUAGUGGUGAGACCCCCGUAUAUGGUGCGGACGCCCAACGCUUUGUGAUACACUUUCGAAGAGUCGAGUUGUUUGGGAAUGCAGCUCAAAUUGGGUGGUAAAUUCCAUCUAAAGCUAAAUAUUGGCGAGAGACCGAUAGCGAACAAGUACCGUGAGGGAAAGAUGAAAAGCACUUUGGAAAGAGAGUUAACAGUACGUGAAAUUGUUGGAAGGGAAACGCUUGAAGUCAGACUUGCUUGCCGAGCAAUCGGUUUGCAGGCCAGCAUCAGUUUUCCGGGGUGGAUAAUGGUAGAGAGAAGGUAGCAGUUUCGGCUGUGUUAUAGCUCUUUGCUGGAUACACCUUGGGGGACUGAGGAACGCAGUGUGCCUUACGGCGGAUUUCUCGAGAUCUUUCACACUUAAGAUGCUGGUGGAAUGGCUUUAAACGAC